UCUGUUUCCUUCUCCCAACUAGUCUCUUCUACAGUCAAACCCCUCUAUUUGAUAAGGUACUCCUUGUAUGGCUGAUGCUUGGUGGUUUUGAUAGCUUGCUCUGUCAGGAACUCUUCUACUCUUUGGUUGACUAGUGGUGUGUGGAUGAAAGCUAAUCUGGUAGGUCUACUAUAGCUAGGAUCUACCUCAUCUGCAUGAUAUUGCUUUAAAUUGGCAACAAGGGAAGUUAGUUGAAUCUUCAUUCAUUUUCAUAACUCUACUCUGUAAGUUGGUUAAUCAACCCAAAUAACAAUUCACAUUGGCUCUUCCUCUUUGGGAAUUAGUCUCUUAUCCUGG
This 336-nucleotide unclassified non-coding RNA is filed under the name Hevea brasiliensis (rubber tree). The record is from RNAcentral. Lineage: Eukaryota; Viridiplantae; Streptophyta; Magnoliopsida; Malpighiales; Euphorbiaceae.